GGUCAAUGGGCUGAGACCUGAACCAGCCCAGUCGCAGUGAAGGAAGACGGUUCUAUGGAUUGUAAACUUCUUUUAUAGGGGAUUAAAGUUAUCCACGCGUGGAUAUUUGCAAGUACCCUAUGAAUAAGCAUCGGCUAACUCCGUGCCAGCAGCCGCGGUAAUACGGAGGAUGCGAGCGUUAUCCGGAUUUAUUGGGUUUAAAGGGUGCGUAGGUGGCCUGAUAAGUCGGGGGUGAAAAGCUUGUGGCUCAACCACAGUCUUGCCUUCGAAACUGUUUGGCUUGAGUAUAGAUGAAGUAGGCCGGAAUUUGUGGUGUAGCCGGUGAAAUUGCAUA
This 334-nucleotide ribosomal RNA is filed under the name Porphyromonas macacae. RNAcentral describes it as "bacterial SSU rRNA". It matches the Rfam family "Bacterial small subunit ribosomal RNA", at positions 366 to 692 of the family's 1533-position model. Lineage: Bacteria; Pseudomonadati; Bacteroidota; Bacteroidia; Bacteroidales; Porphyromonadaceae. The record is from RNAcentral.